AGGACGAACGCUGGCGGCGUGCUUAACACAUGCAAGUCGAGCGAGAGCCAGUUGAGGGGUAACCCUCGACUGGGGACAGCGGCGAACGGGUGCGUAACACGUGGGCAACCUGCCCCUGACACUGGGAUAACCCCGGGAAACCGGAGCUAAUACCGGAUACUCUCGGCCGAUCACAUGGCUGGCCGAGGAAAGGUCCGCCGGUCAGGGAUGGGCCCGCGGCCUAUCAGCUUGUUGGUGGGGUAACGGCCUACCAAGGCGACGACGGGUAGCUGGUCUGAGAGGACGACCAGCCACACUGGAACUGAGAUACGGUCCAGACUCCUACGGGAGGCAGCAGUGGGGAAUAUUGCACAAUGGGCGAAAGCCUGAUGCAGCGACGCCGCGUGAGGGAUGAAGGCCUUCGGGUCGUAAACCUCUUUCGGCAGGGACGAAGCGAUCAGUGACGGUACCUGGCAGAAGAAGCCCCGGCUAACUACGUGCCAGCAGCCGC
Molecule: ribosomal RNA, 490 nt
Filed under: uncultured bacterium
Lineage: Bacteria
Description: SSU rRNA
Rfam family: Bacterial small subunit ribosomal RNA
Source: RNAcentral